RNAcentral lists this ribosomal RNA (329 nucleotides) under uncultured bacterium. Its description in RNAcentral is "SSU rRNA". It matches the Rfam family "Bacterial small subunit ribosomal RNA", at positions 26 to 376 of the family's 1533-position model. The record is from RNAcentral.
AGGAUGAACGCUGGCGGCGUGCCUAAUACAUGCAAGUCGAGCGGUAAGGCCCCUUCGGGGGUACACGAGCGGCGGACGGCUGAGUAACACGUAGGAACGUACCCCAAACUGAGGGAUAAGCACCAGAAAUGGUGUCUAAUACCGCAUGUGGUCUUCGGAUUAAAGCUUCGGCGGUUUGGGAACGGCCUGCGCAUGAUUAGCUUGUUGGUGAGGUAAAAGCUUACCAAGGCGACGAUCAUUAGCUGGUCUGAGAGGAUGAUCAGCCAGACUGGGACUGAGAACGGCCCAGACUCCGUACGGGAGGCAGCAGUAGGAUUUCCACAAUGGGC